This 1434-nucleotide ribosomal RNA is filed under the name uncultured bacterium. RNAcentral's name for it is "bacterial SSU rRNA". It matches the Rfam family "Bacterial small subunit ribosomal RNA". The record is from RNAcentral.
AGAGUUUGAUCCUGGCUCAGAACGUACGCUGGCGGCACGCCUAACACAUGCAAGUCGAACGAAGUAGCAAUACUUAGUGGCAAACGGGUGAGAAUAAUGUGGGUAUCUGCCCUAUGGUUUGGAAUAACACGAGGAAACUUGUGCUAAUACCGGAUAAGCCCUUACGGGGAAAGUUUUAACGCCGAAAGAUGAGCCCGCACUUGAUUAGCUAGUUGGUAAGGUAAUGGCUUACCAAGGCUACGAUCAAUAGCUGAUCUGAGAGGAUGAUCAGCCACAUUGGGACUGAGACACGGCCCAAACUCCUACGGGAGGCAGCAGUGGGGAAUCUUGCACAAUGGGGGAAACCCUGAUGCAGCGAUGCCGCGUGAGUGAAGAAGGCCUUUGGGUUGUAAAGCUCUUUCGUCGGGGAAGAAAAUGACUGUACCCGAAUAAGAAGGUCCGGCUAACUUCGUGCCAGCAGCCGCGGUAAUACGAAGGGACCUAGCGUAGUUCGGAAUUACUGGGCUUAAAGAGCACGUAGGUGGUUAGAAAAGUUGGUGGUGAAAUCCCAGAGCUUAACUCUGGAACUGCCAUCAAAACUUUUUGACUAGAGUAUGAUAGAGGUAAGCGGAAUUUCUAGUGUAGAGGUGAAAUUCGUAGAUAUUAGAAAGAACACCAAUUGCGAAGGCAGCUUUCUGGAUCAUUACUGACACUGAGGUGCGAAAGCAUGGGUAGCGAAGAGGAUUAGAUACCCUCGUAGUCCAUGCCGUAAACGAUGUGUGCUAGAUGUUGGAAAUUUAUUUUCAGUGUCGCAGCAAAAGCGUUAAGCACACCGCCUGGGGAGUACGACCGCAAGGUUAAAACUCAAAUGAAUUGACGGGGACCCGCACAAGCAGUGGAGCAUGUGGUUUAAUUCGAAGAUACGCGCAGAACCUUACCAACACUUGACAUGUUCGUCGCGAACCUAAGAAAUUAGGUUCUUCAUUUAGUUGGACGAAACACAGGUGCUGCAUGGCUGUCGUCAGCUCGUGUCGUGAGAUGUUGGGUUAAGUCCCGCAACGAGCGCAACCCUUACUUUUAGUUGCUACCAUUAAGUUGGGCACUCUAAAAGAACUGCCAGUGAUAAGCUGGAGGAAGGUGGGGAUGACGUCAAGUCCUCAUGGCCCUUAUGUGUUGGGCUACACACGUGCUACAAUGGUACUUACAAUGAGAUGCGAAGAGGCGACUCUAAGCCAAUCCCAAAAAGGUACCUCAGUUCGGAUUGCACUCUGCAACUCGAGUGCAUGAAGCUGGAAUUGCUAGUAAUCGCGGAUCAGCGCGCCGCGGUGAAUACGUUCCCGGGUCUUGUACACACCGCCCGUCACACCAUGGAAGUUGGUUACACCUUAAGGCAAAGCGUAAAACCUUUGACUACGGUACGAUCAGCGACUGGGGUGAAGUCGUAACAAGGUAACC